UCAAAACUUAAUUUUAUUUCAUUUAUGUUACAGGAGUUUCUGGAAAGCCAAGCAAAACCAAAGGAUAUUUUCAUAGAAAGGACUUCUGUAGGCAAAAAAAGUAGGUAUGUGUAUAAAUAUAUUUAUAUUUAUGUAAUAUUUGGAGAGAGAUUUUAAAAAAAAAAAUGUUUUAAUCCUUGCUCUUCCAAACACAUUGCAGUUGUUAAAGUUUCAUGGGUUACCUAUAAAUAAAUGAAUGAAAAGUUUCAACUUAAUUCUUAUGGUUAUAACACUUUAAAAACUGCUCGAUUUUGUAAGUAAAAAGAUCAGUUGUGGUUACAUUUUGUAUUGCAAGAUUGUUUUUAUUACAAAUAUUAAUUGCUUCCAAUUUUUAGCUACAUAUAUUAAAGUUUAAUAUAAAAAUAAGAAGAUGUGGUAUGAUUGCCAAUGAGUCAUUACUCUCCACCAGAGACCAUUGAAGAAGAAUUUAAAAAUUAGCAAAACUCAUGCCAAAUGUAAAAUUAAAAAUCAUGUGUCUAAGACUUAAAUAUCAAUCAGUAAACAUCUAAUUGAUUUAGAGUCUAGAGAAUAGACUGCCAUUAAUCAUAGGAUAAGGACAUGAUCUUGUACAAUGCCAAAAUAUAGGUAUCAACAGUUUGUAAAACUGGUCAACAUACAUAUGUGUAUAACAAUAAUGUUUAAUUUGGUUUUAAUUUACUGAUAGCAAAAUCAAUAUUUAUAUUUAUAAAAUACUUUCCAGUUUUAUUCAAAUAUGUUGUUAUAUCAAAACGAGACAAAUAUAAAAAAGUAGAUGUGGUAUUAUUGCCAAUAAGACAACUCUCCACAAGAGACCAAAAUGAGACAGAAAAGCAUGUUUAAAAGUCACUGAGGAUAUGUCAUUAUUUUUAAAACUAACAACUUACAGUAUAUGGGAAUAAAUCAAAUUAAGUUUUUAAAUGUAUGAAUGUAAUUUAUUUUUUUCAGAUGAAGACAACUUCAAGAAGAGUGACAUUUAGAAGAUAGAACAUUCUAUUGAUAUUGUUAUUAUGACAACAACAAAAAAACAUAAAAAGUUGUGUAACGUUUUGAGAUUGCUGUAUAAAAUAAAAGUAGAGUGAAAUCAAAUUUUUGGAAGUUUUUUGAAAAAUUUAUAUUCUGC
This 1138-nucleotide long non-coding RNA is filed under the name Mytilus galloprovincialis (Mediterranean mussel). Lineage: Eukaryota; Metazoa; Mollusca; Bivalvia; Mytilida; Mytilidae. The record is from RNAcentral.